Molecule: long non-coding RNA, 1338 nt
Organism: Lathyrus oleraceus (garden pea)
Lineage: Eukaryota; Viridiplantae; Streptophyta; Magnoliopsida; Fabales; Fabaceae
Exons: 3
Source: RefSeq, a predicted model, not a curated record
GUGUUAUGAUUGGAAGCUAAAUUGAAUUUAAAAUGAGCAUAAAAUGCGCGCCACCAAGGAAAACAAACUUAGGUCAACCUUCAAACCAACACCGCCGUGAUCCAUCGUGCCUAAAAUCGUUUAUGGAGACGGUGGCCACCAAAAUUAAAAAAUGACCACAUCACCAGCUCCGUCUCAAUCACCUGAUCACGAAUCCACCCUUGAUUUUACCUAAUUCUUACCCUAACACCAAAACCGAAUCUAAAGCUCAAAGAACCCUAAAAGUUCAAUCCUAAAUUAAAUCUUACACGUGAGGAUUCAAAGCCCCCGGGGUUGGGGCUUUGAACCUCCUCUUCGUCCUCUACAUCUCAGUAACUGGAAAUGAAGAAAUGGAAGAUCUUGGAACUUACCAUGGACGGAGGAGGAUGAAGAUGAUGACGAACACCGGUGAACUCCUAUUUCUAGGGUCAACUUGUAACAUUGUUUAUGUGUUGUUCUGAACUUGGUCAUGGUGUGCUAUUAUGUUUUGGAGAAUGGCUUGGUGGAUUACAAGCUUGUGGCUUCACUGACUUGUAGAUGCAAAUUGGUUUGCCUUUUGCAUCAUGGAUCCAAUGGACUGCAUUGUGUAGGUCUUGUUUGGUGUGCUACAAUUGUUUUGUAUUCAUGCCUUGCAGAUAGGUUCUGACUUGGACUUGCAUUAUGGUGGCUUAGUUUCAAAGCAUGUUGAUGUGCAAGUAUGAUGCAUGGUUAUGGCUUAUGGUUUCACUGCAUUUUCAUUGUUUUGGCUUUAGUUCACAACAUGGUUCACUUGGUAGCUAGUUUGUGUUCUACAGUAGGCAUUGUGUUAUAUAAAACUGUGCAUUUGGUUUCACUUUGGAUUGUUUUCUGCAAUCCCUGUUUGGUAUGCAUUUUGCAGGGUCUUUUUGGCUUGUACAUGAUAAUGCUUCCUUAUUCAGGUCCUUGGUUUUGCUUCUUGAAACAUAUGUAUCAUAUGGCUCAUGUAUCAUAUGUAUGUCAUAGUUCCAUGGAGGCUUAUGGCAUGCUGGUUGGACAAUGCAAAUGACAUUAAGGUUGGAAUUUGAAGCAACAUGUACAAUUGGUCAAUCAAAGGUCAACAUGGAACAUGGAAAUUUAGGGUUAGAAUUAGGGAUUGGGAAUUUAGGUUUUUUAGGAUUGGGUUGACUUUGGUCAAAGUUGACCAAAAAGUCUACUGUUGACCAAAGUUAACAUUUGGUUAAAGUUCAUUUUUUUUGUAUUUUCCUCAUGUAAUGGGUUGUAAUGAAUGGAAUUUGCUACUCUUGAAUGAAAUAAGAUUAGUAUUUGAAUUGAAUCUUCUAUGACUUGAAUAAAUUGUAUGAA